RNAcentral lists this ribosomal RNA (80 nucleotides) under uncultured bacterium. RNAcentral's name for it is "partial 16S ribosomal RNA". The record is from RNAcentral.
UCACGAAAGUGAGUUGUACUAGAAGUCGCCGCGCGAACCGCAAGGACGCAAGCGCCCAAGGUAUGACCCAUGAUUGGGUG